CAAUUCAUCUAUAUUUCUAUUGAUAUUGUAGUCAUUGUAUUUGAUUGAUCAGCUAAUCACCCCCAAAGAUUGUCUUUCAGCUGAAUUUGUUUUUUUAAUUCUGUUCCAUAUCUUUAUCUCUAUAAAAGGCUAUCUGGAUUUUCUUUUCUUUUUUUAACUUUUUUUUCUUCUAAUCAAUGUCUUUUGAUUUUAGGUGUAAAGAACUAUGCAUAUGGUUUUUAUCUUUAAGAGAAUCGUUUUUUCAGUGAUGGGUUUGUUUGCUUAUUUGCUUUAGUCUUUUGUAGCUCUGGAAUUGCUUGAAAACUGUAGUUUAGUAUUGAAUAGUUCAGCAGUGAGCACUCAUAUAAGUUUCUUAAUUCCGUGUCUUCCAGGAUAGCACCUUACCAGCAAAAA
Molecule: long non-coding RNA, 393 nt
Organism: Hibiscus syriacus
Lineage: Eukaryota; Viridiplantae; Streptophyta; Magnoliopsida; Malvales; Malvaceae
Exons: 2
Source: RefSeq, a predicted model, not a curated record